GACGAACGCUGGCGGCGUGCUUAACACAUGCAAGUCGAACGGAAAGGCCCUGCUUUUGUGGGGUGCUCGAGUGGCGAACGGGUGAGUAACAAGUGAGUAACCUGCCCUUGACUUUGGGAUAACUUCAGGAAACUGGGGCUAAUACCCGAUAGGAGCUCCUGCUGCAUGGGGGGGGUUGGAAAGUUUCGGCGGUUGGGGAUGGACUCGCGGCUUAGCAGCUUGUUGGUGGGGUAGUGGCGUACCAAGGCUUUGACGGGUAGCCGGCCUGAGAGGGUGACCGGCGUCAUUGGGACUGAGAUACGGCCCAGACUCCUACGGGAGGCAGCAGUGGGGAAUAUUGCACAGUGGGCGGAAGCCUGAUGCAGCAACGCCGCGUGCGUGAUGACGGCCUUCGGGUUGUAAACCGCUUUCGCCUGUGACGAAGCGUGAGUGACGGUAAUGGGUAAAGAAGCACCGGCUAACUACGUG
This 468-nucleotide ribosomal RNA is filed under the name uncultured bacterium. RNAcentral describes it as "partial 16S ribosomal RNA". It matches the Rfam family "Bacterial small subunit ribosomal RNA", at positions 28 to 507 of the family's 1533-position model. The record is from RNAcentral.